Molecule: ribosomal RNA, 424 nt
Filed under: uncultured bacterium
Lineage: Bacteria
Description: partial 16S ribosomal RNA
Rfam family: Bacterial small subunit ribosomal RNA
Source: RNAcentral
AAUUUUGGACAAUGGGGGAAACCCUGAUCCAGCCAUCCCGCGCGUAUGAUGAAGGCCUUCGGGUUGUAAAUUACUUUUGGCAGAGAAGAAAAUGUAUCCCCUAAUACGGGAUACUGCUGACGGCAUCUGCAGAACAAGCACCGGCUAACUAUGUGCCAGCAGCCGCGGUAAUCCUUAGGGUGCAAGCUUUAAUCGGAAUUACUGCGUGUAAAGCGUGUGUAGGGGGUUCGGAAAGAAAGAUGUGAAAUCCCAGGGCUCAACCUUGGAACUGCAUUUUUAACUGCCGAGCUAGAGUAUGUCAGAGGGGGGUAGAAUUCCACGUGUAGCAGUGAAAUGCGUAGAUAUGUGGAGGAAUACCGAUGGCGAAGGCAGCCCCCUGGGAUAAUACUGACGCUCAGACACGAAAGCGUGGGGAGCAAACAGG